UACGUAGGUGGCAAGCGUUGUCCGGAUUUACUGGGCGUAAAGGGCGUGCAGGCGGUCUGUUAAGUGCAGGGUGAAAGCUCCCGGCUCAACUGGGAGAGGUCCUUGCAUACUGGCGGACUUGAGGGGGGUAGAGGAAAGUGGAAUUCCCGGUGUAGUGGUGAAAUGCGCAGAUAUCAGGAGGAACACCGGUGGCGAAGGCGGGACUCUGGGCCGAUACUGACGCUGAGGAGCGAAAGCGUGGGGAGCGAACAGG
RNAcentral lists this ribosomal RNA (253 nucleotides) under uncultured bacterium. RNAcentral's name for it is "partial 16S ribosomal RNA". It matches the Rfam family "Bacterial small subunit ribosomal RNA", at positions 524 to 776 of the family's 1533-position model. The record is from RNAcentral.